Molecule: ribosomal RNA, 713 nt
Filed under: uncultured archaeon
Lineage: Archaea
Description: bacterial SSU rRNA
Rfam family: Archaeal small subunit ribosomal RNA
Source: RNAcentral
UGCGAGUCGAGAGGGUUCGGCCCUCGGCAGACUGCUCAGUAACACGUGGAUAACCUACCCUUAGGUGGAGGAUAAUCUCGGGAAACUGAGAAUAAUACUCCAUAGAUCUAGGCUGCUGGAAUGCAUCUAGAUUAAAAGCUCCGGCGCCUAAGGAUGGGUCUGCGGACUAUCAGGUUGUAGUCAGGGUAAAGACCUGACUAGCCUACGACGGAUAUGGGUUGUGAGAGCAAUAGCCCAGAGACGAUAUCUGAGACACGAUAUCGGGCCCUACGGGGCGCAGCAGGCGCGAAAUCUUCACAAUGUGCGAAAGCACGAUGAGGGAAUCCCAAGUGCUGGCACGUAAGUGUCAGCUGUUUCUUAGUCUAAAAAACUGAGAGAGUAAGAGCUGGGUAAGACGGGUGCCAGCCGCCGCGGUAAUACCUGCAGCUCAAGUGGUGGCCGCUAUUAUUGGGCCUAAAACGUCCGUAGCCUGUUUAGUAAAUGCUUGGGUAAAUUGUGUAGCUUAACUAUACGAAUACCGGGUAGACUGCUAAACUUGGGACCGGGAGAGGCUAGAGGUACUCCUAGGGUAGAGGUGAAAUUCUGUAAUCCUAGGGGGACCACCAGUGGCGAAGGCGUCUAGCUAGAACGGGUCUGACGGUGAGGGACGAAGCCCUGGGGCGCGAACCGGAUUAGAUACCCGGGUAGUCCAGGGUGUAAACGCUGCUUGCUUG